Long non-coding RNA from Nicotiana tabacum (common tobacco), 1694 nucleotides. RefSeq lists it as uncharacterized. The record is from RefSeq and is a predicted model, not a curated record. Lineage: Eukaryota; Viridiplantae; Streptophyta; Magnoliopsida; Solanales; Solanaceae.
CAUAUAGAACCGAUAGACAAAGCAAUAAGAAGCAGAAAUGAGAAAAACAGAGCGGUAACUCAUGAGACGACUGGCCUGGUUGUCAUAGUAUCAACACUGCCCACCUGACAAACCACACAUUACCAGCUGGAUGAUCGUACCAAAGUGGACGCCGAAUAUUUGGCAUGGCUACAGGAGCAAAUAUUUACUUGGGACCGGUGAUUUGACCUGAUUCUGCCCCAUUUACCGAGUCGGCCGGAUAUUGGGCAUGAUUAUAUGGGCUGGUACCGCGGCAUUACCCGACUUUUCAUUGGGAAUACCAUUCAUCGAGCUGGCGGUCGAUACGUCCCAUACGUCGGGAGGCACGAGGCACUGGCUAUUGGCCUACAUUUAUUCCACCGGUUGGGACUGUAGAUGCAUCAGCAUGCCGGUGAGGGAGCGACCAUUUUGCACGAGUAUGGCCAGCAGGUUACAAAUCUAGUUGCCCGGACACUACAACGAGCCCGAGAGAAUGAUCGCUUAGUGCACGUCCCUGAUUAUGUGGUUCCAGAGCAGUACCAUCGAGGUAGGCCUGUCCCACGAGGUAGGGGAGCACGAGGUAGGGUUUUCCCAUGAGGCAGGGCUGUCCCAUGGGGUCGUGGGGGCCGACAAGGAGGUGGUCCCCAGCAAGGGGGCGUUGAGGCACCUAUUGAGGAUGUUGGAGGUGAUCUGCUGGGUAACCUCCAUCAGCCAGACGAGCAUCACUGCAGCAUGCCGUCAUUCAGCCUUCAGUUGUCGUUCACUCCAACAGCAUCGCAGGUGACCCCGUCAGAUCCAUUGUUGAUCACGGUCAUGAGCAUUACCGGAGAUGAUUGGGAGAAGUACUUUUCAGGCCUAGCGACCAUUGCUGAGGAUCGGUCGACCAAAGAUAUGGAUGGUGGGCGCCGGCUGAGUUAUGGCUUAUCGUCGACGGGUGCUGGGGAUCUUUCACAGACGUAGGCUUCAUCCUAGCCCGUUACGGAGGCCACUUUGUGCGAUGUUGAGUAGGAUACGAGAUGCUUAUAUUUAGAAGACCGACGAGACCAUGGUUGCUGAUGGACCGAUAUCCCCUUCUACCGUUCCUACCAGCACUACUCACAAUCAUGCUACAGCGCAUCCUGCGAUAAAGAGGCAACGUGAUGAGGAUUAUCCUAAUAGCGUAUCCGGGCGGGAUGGGAUGCGCCUCAGGCCAGUUUGUGUUUGUUUGACAACGUGUUGCUUCAAGUGGUUCAAAAAUAGCAUCCACGUCUCUUGGCUUUCAUUGGCACAGAUGGCAAAGGCUAGUGGAAAUAUUUCUCCAUUGGCAUCUACUACAACUGCGAUCAACAACUUAAUAUCAUACUUUCCAUAGACAUGAGUACCGUCUUUGGAAAUUACCGGACGACAAUGCACAAAACCAUCAAUUGUUGGUUUAAAUGUGCAGAACACGUAUUUGAAUAUAUAUUUUGGUAAUUCUAAACUCCGCUCAAGCUUCCAUUCAACAACAGUCAUGGGGUUAAAGUGUUUCAAUGCGGCCAUGUACCUCGGUAGAGAUGCAAAUGACUUAUCCCAGUCACCAUAAUCAAUUUAAAAGGCACGCUUGCGCCCGAGAUAUGCCUUUCUUUUGGUAAUAGUACACCCACAUUCCUGGUGGAUGGAUGUAAUACACUUUUUGAUCUUGUACCUUAUGGACGCUUCAAUGUGUGGAAUGAGCUGAA